Molecule: ribosomal RNA, 587 nt
Filed under: uncultured Singulisphaera sp.
Lineage: Bacteria; Pseudomonadati; Planctomycetota; Planctomycetia; Isosphaerales; Isosphaeraceae
Description: bacterial SSU rRNA
Rfam family: Bacterial small subunit ribosomal RNA
Source: RNAcentral
AAGGGUGAGUAAGGCGACGGUAACCAACCCCAGGAUUGGGUAUAGCCGCGGGAAACCGCGGGUAAUCCCCAGCGACGCAACGGCACCGGCAUCGGUGCCUUGCCAAAGCUUCGGCGUCGUGGGACGGGCUGUCGUGGUAUUAGCUUGUUGGCGGGGUAAUGGCCCACCAAGGCUCUGAUGCCUACCGGGCGUGCGAGCGUGGCCCGGCACACUGGGACUGAGACACUGCCCAGACUCCUACGGGAGGCUGCAGUCGAGAAUCUUCGGCAAUGGGCGCAAGCCUGACCGAGCGACGCCGCGUGGAGGAUGAAGGCCUUCGGGUUGUAAACUCCUGUCGAGGGGGAAAAAGGGUCGAAAGGCCUUGAUUGAUCCCUGGAGGAAGCACGGGCUAAGUUCGUGCCAGCAGCCGCGGUAAGACGAACCGUGCGAACGUUAUUCGGAAUCAUUGGGCUUAAAGCGCGUGUAGGCGGAUUCGUGCGUCUGUCGCUGAAAUCCCCCGGCUCAACCGGGGAAGUGGCGUGGAUACGACGAGUCUGGAGGGGCAUAGGGGGACCUGGAACUUCCGGUGGAGCGGUGAAAUGCGUUGA